Molecule: ribosomal RNA, 507 nt
Filed under: Clonostachys rosea
Lineage: Eukaryota; Fungi; Ascomycota; Sordariomycetes; Hypocreales; Bionectriaceae
Description: eukaryotic LSU rRNA
Rfam family: 5.8S ribosomal RNA (bases 126-279)
Source: RNAcentral
UACCUACUGUUGCUUCGGCGGGAUUGCCCCGGGCACCUCGUGUGCCCCGGAUCAGGCGCCCGCCUAGGAAACUUAACUCUUGUUUUAUUUUGGAAUCUUCUGAGUAGUUUUUACAAAUAAAUAAAAACUUUCAACAACGGAUCUCUUGGUUCUGGCAUCGAUGAAGAACGCAGCGAAAUGCGAUAAGUAAUGUGAAUUGCAGAAUUCAGUGAAUCAUCGAAUCUUUGAACGCACAUUGCGCCCGCCAGUAUUCUGGCGGGCAUGCCUGUCUGAGCGUCAUUUCAACCCUCAUGCCCCUAGGGCGUGGUGUUGGGGAUCGGCCAAAGCCCGCGAGGGACGGCCGGCCCCUAAAUCUAGUGGCGGACCCGUCGUGGCCUCCUCUGCGAAGUAGUAAUAUUCCGCAUCGGACAGCGACGAGCCCCUGCCGUUAAACCCCCAACUUUCUAAGGUUGACCUCAGAUCAGGUAGGAAUACCCGCUGAACUUAAGCAUAUCAAUAAGCGGAGGA